AGAUUGAACGCUGGCGGCAUGCCUUACACAUGCAAGUCGAACGGCAGCACGGGGGCAACCCUGGUGGCGAGUGGCGAACGGGUGAGUAACAUAUCGGAACGUGCCCUGGAGUGGGGGGAUAACUAGUCGAAAGACUAGCUAAUACCGCAUACGAUCUACGGAUGAAAGUGGGGGAUCGCAAGACCUCAUGCUCGUGGAGCGGCCGAUAUCUGAUUAGCUAGUUGGUGGGGUAAAGGCCUACCAAGGCAUCGAUCAGUAGCUGGUCUGAGAGGACGACCAGCCACACUGGGACUGAGACACGGCCCAGGCUCCUACGGGAGGCAGCAGUGGGGAAUUUUGGACAAGUGGGCGCAAGCCUGAUCCAGCAAUGACCGCGUGAGUGAAGAAGGCCUUGGUUGUAAAGUCUUCUUUGUCGAGGUAAGUAACGGUUC
Molecule: ribosomal RNA, 431 nt
Filed under: uncultured soil bacterium
Lineage: Bacteria
Description: bacterial SSU rRNA
Rfam family: Bacterial small subunit ribosomal RNA
Source: RNAcentral